GACGAACGCUGGCGGCGUGCUUAACACAUGCAAGUCGAACGGAAAGGCCCUGCUUUUGUGGGGUGAUCGAGUGGCGAACGGGUGAGUAACACGUGAGUAACCUGCCCUUGACUUUGGGAUAACUUCAGGAAACUGGGGCUAAUACCGGAUAGGAGCUCCUGCUGCAUGGUGGGGGUUGGAACGUUUCGGCGGUUGGGGAUGGACUCGCGGCUUAUCAGCUUGUUGGUGGGGUAGUGGCUUACCAAGGCUUUGACGGGUAGCCGGCCUGAGAGGGUGACCGGCCACAUUGGGACUGAGAGACGGCCCAGACUCCUACGGGAGGCAGCAGUGGGGAAUAUUGCACAAUGGGCGGAAGCCUGAUGCAGCGACGCCGCGUGCGGGAUGACGGCCUUCGGGUUGUAAACCGCUUUCGCCUGUGACGAAGCGUGAGUGACGGUAAUGGGUAAAGAAGCACCGGCUAACUACGUG
RNAcentral lists this ribosomal RNA (468 nucleotides) under uncultured bacterium. RNAcentral's name for it is "partial 16S ribosomal RNA". It matches the Rfam family "Bacterial small subunit ribosomal RNA", at positions 28 to 507 of the family's 1533-position model. The record is from RNAcentral.